GAUGAACGCUGGCGGCGUGCCUAAUACAUGCAAGUCGAGCGAACAGAUGAGGAGCUUGCUCCUCUGACGUUAGCGGCGGACGGGUGAGUAACACGUGGAUAACCUACCUAUAAGACUGGGAUAACUUCGGGAAACCGGAGCUAAUACCGGAUAAUAUAUUGAACCGCAUGGUUCAAUAGUGAAAGACGGUUUUGCUGUCACUUAUAGAUGGAUCCGCGCCGCAUUAGCUAGUUGGUAAGGUAACGGCUUACCAAGGCAACGAUGCGUAGCCGACCUGAGAGGGUGAUCGGCCACACUGGAACUGAGACACGGUCCAGACUUCUACGGGAGGCAGCAGUAGGGAAUCUUCCGCAAUGGGCGAAAGCCUGACGGAGCAACGCCGCGUGAGUGAUGAAGGUCUUCGGAUCGUAAAACUCUGUUAUUAGGGAAGAACAAAUGUGUAAGUAACUAUGCACGUCUUGACGGUACCUAAGCAGAAAGCCACGGCUAACUACGU
RNAcentral lists this ribosomal RNA (496 nucleotides) under uncultured bacterium. RNAcentral describes it as "partial 16S ribosomal RNA". It matches the Rfam family "Bacterial small subunit ribosomal RNA", at positions 28 to 506 of the family's 1533-position model. The record is from RNAcentral.